This is a long non-coding RNA of Glycine soja, 928 nucleotides long. RefSeq lists it as uncharacterized. The transcript has 3 exons. The record is from RefSeq and is a predicted model, not a curated record. NCBI's taxonomy places the organism in Eukaryota, Viridiplantae, Streptophyta, Magnoliopsida, Fabales, Fabaceae.
CUUUUAAGAAAUUAAGCUAACUACUCUUAUGUGAACAUUGGCUUCUUAUAACUACACUUUGAAGCUUCUGCACUCAUUUCGUGUUAGGAUUAGCUAUGGUUUGUGCAAUAAUGCUUGAUUUGUUUCGUGUGCUUUUUGUGUAGUUGUUGGUGACAGCGUGGUGUUUCCUACAGCGAAAUCGAAGGGGCUGAGGACAUCGGCUUUUCUUCGAGUUUUGAAGUAUUCUAUGGGAGGAGUACUUGAACCUGCAAAACUAUACAAGCUAAAGCACCUCUCAAAAGUGGAAGAAUUUUGUGCAUAUCUAUCAAAUGCUUAGGGUUCUGAGUUAAAAAUAUGGAGAGCAAGAGAAAAUUCAAAAGAUGUUCUUCAAGGUACCUAUGAAAAAGCCAGAAAUUUUGGAAGAAGUUUAGAAUUUUAUUAUGUUGCAUGCCUCUCAAUUCUAAAGGAAAAGACUUCGUCAAUGCUAAAAACAAACAACUUCAAGGAAGAAAUGUUACAAAUAAUAUGGUUAGACACCAACGAGCAUGGGAACUUUGCAGCAUGACCUGGAACGGGGAUUCAAGUCGCAGUGAAAAUCCUCAAUCCAAAUGGAUUUCAGGGUCACAAGGAAUGGCUUGUAUGUGACCAUUCUAAACUUGAUUAUAUUUCUUUAUCUUUAAUUCUAACAAUUUAUUUAAUUUUCACCAUUUUUUAGGUAAAACUAUAAAUGACAUUCACAUUAGUUCAGACAAAUUUGUUGUGAGGCUUUGAAUAUUCUUGAAAGUUUUGGUUUCCCUUGCCUUAAAGCCUCUUUAGGUUGCCUUAUGUUUAACCUUGAGGAGGUGCAUUUACUCUCUGGUUGUAAUGGCUGUGUUUGCUGGAAGCAUGGUUCAUUUGUUUAGUUUUCUUUGUUCCUUUGUCAAGGCAAGGCAAUUUAUGCAUUAGUCUA